UGGCUUUUAUCAUGAAGGGCUGUUGAA
RNAcentral lists this non-coding RNA (27 nucleotides) under Mus musculus (house mouse). The record is from RNAcentral. Lineage: Eukaryota; Metazoa; Chordata; Mammalia; Rodentia; Muridae.